This 197-nucleotide ribosomal RNA is filed under the name uncultured Enterobacter sp. RNAcentral's name for it is "partial 16S ribosomal RNA". It matches the Rfam family "Bacterial small subunit ribosomal RNA", at positions 335 to 524 of the family's 1533-position model. Lineage: Bacteria; Pseudomonadati; Pseudomonadota; Gammaproteobacteria; Enterobacterales; Enterobacteriaceae. The record is from RNAcentral.
ACUCCUACGGGAGGCAGCAGUGGGGAAUAUUGCACAAUGGGCGCAAGCCUGAUGCAGCCAUGCCGCGUGUAUGAAGAAGGCCUUCGGGUUGUAAAGUACUUUCAGCGGGGAGGGAGGCGACAGGGUUAAUAACCCUGUCGAUUGACGUUACCCGCAGAAGAAGCACCGGCUAACUCCGUGCCAGCAGCCGCGGUAAU